RNAcentral lists this ribosomal RNA (468 nucleotides) under uncultured bacterium. RNAcentral's name for it is "partial 16S ribosomal RNA". It matches the Rfam family "Bacterial small subunit ribosomal RNA", at positions 28 to 507 of the family's 1533-position model. The record is from RNAcentral.
GACGAACGCUGGCGGCGUGCUUAACACAUGCAAGUCGAACGGAAAGGCCCUGCUUUUGUGGGGUGCUCGAGUGGCGAACGGGUGAGUAACACGUGAGUAACCUGCCCUUGACUUUGGGAUAACUUCAGGAAACUGGGGCUAAUACCGGAUAGGAGCUCCUGCUGCAUGGUGGGGGUUGGAAAGAUUCGGCGGUUGGGGAUGGACUCGCGGCUUAUCAGCUUGUUGGUGGGGUAGUGGCUUACCAAGGCUUUGACGGGUAGCCGGCCUGGGAGGGUGACCGGCCACAUUGGGACUGAGAUACGGCCCAGACUCCUACGGGAGGCAGCAGUGGGGAAUAUUGCACAAUGGGCGGAAGCCUGAUGCAGCAACGCCGCGUGCGGGAUGACGGCCUUCGGGUUGUAAACCGCUUUCGCCUGUGACGAAGCGUGAGUGACGGUAAUGGGUAAAGAAGCACCGGCUAACUACGUG